UCUUGGUGGCGAGUGGCGAACGGGUGAGUAAUAUAUCGGAACGUACCCUAGAGUGGGGGAUAACGCAGCGAAAGUUGCGCUAAUACCGCAUACGAUCUACGGAUGAAAGUGGGGGAUCGCAAGACCUCAUGCUCAUGGAGCGGCCGAUAUCUGAUUAGCUAGUUGGUAGGGUAAAAGCCUACCAAGGCUUCGAUCAGUAGCUGGUCUGAGAGGACGACCAGCCACACUGGAACUGAGACACGGUCCAGACUCCUACGGGAGGCAGCAGUGGGGAAUUUUGGACAAUGGGCGCAAGCCUGAUCCAGCAAUGCCGCGUGAGUGAAGAAGGCCUUCGGGUUGUAAAGCUCUUUUGUCAGGGAAGAAACGGUGAGAGCUAAUAUCUUUUGCUAAUGACGGUACCUGAAGAAUAAGCACCGGCUAACUACGUGCCAGCAGCCGCGGUAAUACGUAGGGUGCAAGCGUUAAUCGGAAUUACUGGGCGUAAAGCGUGCGCAGGCGGUUGUGCAAGACAGAUGUGAAAUCCCCGGGCUCAACCUGGGAAUUGCAUUUGUGACUGCACGGCUAGAGUGUGUCAGAGGGGGGUAGAAUUCCACGUGUAGCAGUGAAAUGCGUAGAGAUGUGGAGGAAUACCGAUGGCGAAGGCAGCCCCCUGGGAUAACACUGACGCUCAUGCACGAAAGCGUG
RNAcentral lists this ribosomal RNA (684 nucleotides) under uncultured Oxalobacteraceae bacterium. RNAcentral describes it as "bacterial SSU rRNA". It matches the Rfam family "Bacterial small subunit ribosomal RNA", at positions 83 to 763 of the family's 1533-position model. The record is from RNAcentral. Lineage: Bacteria; Pseudomonadati; Pseudomonadota; Betaproteobacteria; Burkholderiales; Oxalobacteraceae.